UGUUUAUUAAAAACAUUUCUACUUGUAAGAAUUUGUAGUAUUGCCUGCCCAAUGUUUUAUCAAUGGCCGCAGUAUUUUGACUGUGCUAAGGUAGCAUAAUUAGUUGUCUCAUAAUUGGAGAAUUGUUUGAAAGGUUUGACUAGAUAUUAUUAUUAGAUGGGGGCUUUAGAUGAAUUUGGGGUGCCGAUGCAGAUUUUGGUAUUCUACAAUAAGACGGAAAGACCCUAAGAGCUUUAUAUUUUAUAUUUAUUUGGGGUAAAGGCAUUUUUUUUAUAUGCUUUGUGAUCCUUUUGGAUUGAAGGUUUAAGUUACCUUAGGGAUAACUAGGUGAGAGAUAAGGAGAGAUCAUAUCGAUUUAUCUGUUUGCCAUCUCGAUGUUGACUUGGGGUUAUUAUAGGGGUGUAGGUGUUUUUAUAAUAGGUCUGUUCGACCUUGUUCCCUUCAUGAUCU
Molecule: ribosomal RNA, 450 nt
Filed under: Paragyliauchen fractoporus
Lineage: Eukaryota; Metazoa; Platyhelminthes; Trematoda; Opisthorchiida; Gyliauchenidae
Description: partial 16S ribosomal RNA
Rfam family: Bacterial large subunit ribosomal RNA
Source: RNAcentral